UUGCCUGCACCUGCCGGCGACCGGCGCACGGGUGAGUAACACGUAUGGAACCUGCCCGCCACAGGGGGAUAACCCGGGGAAACCCGGCCUAAUACCCCAUGCCGCCCGGACCGGGCAUCCGGUCCGGGCGAAAGGAGGAAUCCGGUGGCGGCUGGGCAUGCGGCGCAUUAGCUUGACGGCGGGGUAACGGCCCACCGUGGCGACGAUGCGUAGGGGUUCUGAGAGGAAGGUCCCCCACACUGGAACUGAGACACGGUCCAGACUCCUACGGAAGGCAGCAG
Molecule: ribosomal RNA, 281 nt
Filed under: uncultured bacterium
Lineage: Bacteria
Description: partial 16S ribosomal RNA
Rfam family: Bacterial small subunit ribosomal RNA
Source: RNAcentral